Molecule: small nuclear RNA, 102 nt
Organism: Dromiciops gliroides (monito del monte)
Lineage: Eukaryota; Metazoa; Chordata; Mammalia; Microbiotheria; Microbiotheriidae
Source: RefSeq, a predicted model, not a curated record
AUGCUCACUCCAGCAGCACAUAUACUAAAAUUGGAACGAUACAGAGAAGAUUAGCAUGGCCCCUGUGCAAGGAUGACACACAAAGAGUCGGACACUACUGAA